AGCCCUCCUUGGUGCCUGUCCGGUAGCUGGUCACUCUCGGGGGAAGGUCGUGUGCAGAAGGGCACAUGCGAUCACACAGAGACGGCGUUGCUGCGGCUUUGACCCGAUGGUGCACCCGAAAGAACACAGAGGGUGAAGGGAGAGAUCCAGGAAGUGGUCGCGGAGCAGAACCCCCCUUCACUUCAGUUAAAAAGGGUUUCAAAGCCAGAGGAGAUAAAAGAAAUUUGUUCCCCUUGCAAAGAUGAAAAUCAGAUUUGCCCUGGUUUUGGUUAAUCGAAGUAUUGAUACGUUUUUCCUUAUUUAAUUUUAUUUUUUAAUUACCUCCAGUUCCAUCCAUGUUGCUGCAAAUGACAGGAUUUCAUUCUUUUUAUGGCUAAAUAAUAUUCCACUCUGUAUAUAAACCACUUUUUUUUUUUUUAAGACAGAGUCUUGUUCUGUCGCCCAGGCUGGAGUGCCAUGGCACGAUUUCAGCUCACUGCAAGCUCUGUCUCCCAGGUUCAAGUGAUUCUCGUGUCUCAGCCUCCUGAGUCGCUAAGAUGACAGGUGCCCGCCACCAUGCCUGGCUAAUUUUUGUACUUUUAGUAGAGAUGGGUUUCACCAUGUUGGCCAGGCUGGUCUUGAACUCCUGA
RNAcentral lists this long non-coding RNA (629 nucleotides) under Homo sapiens (human). RNAcentral describes it as "non-protein coding lnc-RHCE-2:4". The record is from RNAcentral. Lineage: Eukaryota; Metazoa; Chordata; Mammalia; Primates; Hominidae.